GACGAACGCUGGCGGCGUGCUUAACACAUGCAAGUCGAACGGAAAGGCCCUGCAUUUGUGGGGUGCUCGAGUGGCGAACGGGUGAGUAACACGUGAGUAACCUGCCCUUGACUUUGGGAUAACUUCAGGAAACUGGGGCUAAUACCGGAUAGGAACUCCUGCUGCAUGGUGGGGGUGGGAAAGUUUCGGCGGUUGGGGAUGGACUCGCGGCUUAUCAGCUUGUUGGUGGGGUAGUGGCUUACCAAGGCUUUGACGGGUAGCCGGCCUGCGAGGGUGACCGGCCACAUUGGGACUGAGAGACGGCCCAGACGCCUACGGGAGGCAGCAGUGGGGAAUAUUGCACAAUGGGCGGAAGCCUGAUGCAGCAACGCCGCGUGCGGGAUGACGGCCUUCGGGUUGUAAACCGCUUUCGCCUGUGACGAAGCGUGAGUGACGGUAAUGGGUAAAGAAGCACCGGCUAACUACGU
Molecule: ribosomal RNA, 467 nt
Filed under: uncultured bacterium
Lineage: Bacteria
Description: partial 16S ribosomal RNA
Rfam family: Bacterial small subunit ribosomal RNA
Source: RNAcentral